Molecule: ribosomal RNA, 458 nt
Filed under: uncultured bacterium
Lineage: Bacteria
Description: SSU rRNA
Rfam family: Bacterial small subunit ribosomal RNA
Source: RNAcentral
AGAGCGAACGCUGGCGGCAGGCCUAACACAUGCAAGUCGAGCGCCCCGCAAGGGGAGCGGCAGACGGGAGAGUAACACGUGGGAACGUACCCUUCAGUUCGGAACAACCAAGGGAAACUUUGGCUAAUACCGGAUACGUCCGUAAGGAGAAAGAUUUAUCGCUGAGGGAUCGGCCCGCGUCUGAUUAGCUAGUUGGUGAGGUAACGGCUCACCAAGGCGACGAUCAGUAGCUGGUCUGAGAGGAUGAUCAGCCUCACUGGGACUGAGACACGGCCCAGACUCCUACGGGAGGCAGCAGUGGGGAAUAUUGGACAAUGGGCGCAAGCCUGAUCCAGCCAUGCCGCGUGGGUGAUGAAGCUUUUCGGAGUGUAAACCCCUUUCGACCCGGACGAAUGCCCCGCAAGGGGACUGACGGUACGGGUAUAAGAAGCCCCGGCUAACUACGUGCCAGCAGCCGC